This 433-nucleotide ribosomal RNA is filed under the name uncultured bacterium. RNAcentral describes it as "partial 16S ribosomal RNA". It matches the Rfam family "Bacterial small subunit ribosomal RNA", at positions 29 to 507 of the family's 1533-position model. The record is from RNAcentral.
AACGAACGCUGGCGGCAUGCCUAACACAUGCAAGUCGAACGAGACCUUCGGGUCUAGUGGCGUACGGGUGCGUAACGCGUGGGAACCUGCCCUUAGGUUCGGAAUAACUCCCCGAAAGGGGUGCUAAUACCGGAUAAUGUCUUCGGCCCAAAGAUUUAUCGCCUUUGGAUGGGCCCGCGUUGGAUUAGCUAGUUGGUAGGGUAAAAGCCUACCAAGGCGACGAUCCAUAGCUGGUCUGAGAGGAUGAUCAGCCACACUGGGACUGAGACACGGCCCAGACUCCUACGGGAGGCAGCAGUGGGGAAUAUUGGACAAUGGGCGAAAGCCUGAUCCAGCAAUGCCGCGUGAGUGAUGAAGUCCUUAGAGUUGUAAAGCGCUUUUACCCGGGAUGAUAAUGACAGUACCGGGAGAAUAAGCUCCGGCUAACUCCGUG